This is a non-coding RNA of Pelobates cultripes (western spadefoot toad), 207 nucleotides long. The record is from the annotation of a GenBank genome assembly. Lineage: Eukaryota; Metazoa; Chordata; Amphibia; Anura; Pelobatidae.
UGUUUUUGUGUCUCUUUGCUUUGUAAUGUAAUUGUCCUUCUGUCUUGUUACUGUACAGCGUUGACAUGGUUAAAUUCGUGCUGGCAGGCAGUCUCUCUCUUGUUCCACUCAAAUCCCCCUCUGCUAAAACCCCCCCCCCCUCCCCUCGCUUCUGUGAGACGCGGGGGGGGAGGGGGCGGAGGGGGUGGUGACAUGCUUGCGAUUUAG